This 589-nucleotide ribosomal RNA is filed under the name uncultured bacterium. RNAcentral describes it as "partial 16S ribosomal RNA". It matches the Rfam family "Bacterial small subunit ribosomal RNA", at positions 355 to 1376 of the family's 1533-position model. The record is from RNAcentral.
UGGGGAAUAUUGGACAAUGGGCGCAAGCCUGAUCCAGCAAUGCCGCGUGUGUGAAGAAGGCCUUCGGGUUGUAAAGCACUUUUAUCAGGAGCGAAACGCUGUCGGCAAAUACCCGGCGGAACUGACGGUACCUGAGGAAUAAGCACCGGCUAACUUCGUGCCAGCAGCCGCGGUAAUACGAAGGGUGCAAGCGUUAAUCGGAAUUACUGGGCGUAAAGCGUGCGUAGGCGGUUUCUUAAGUCUGCUGUGAAAUCCCCGGGCUCAACCUGGGAAUGGCAGUGGAUACUGGGAGGCUAGAGUGUGUCAGAGGGUGGUGGAAUUCCCGGUGUAGCGGUGAAAUGCGUAGAGAUCGGGAGGAACAUCAGUGGCGAAGGCGGCCACCUGGGACAACACUGACGCUGAGGCACGAAAGCGUGGGGAGCAAACAGGAUUAGAUACCCUGGUAGUCCACGCCCUAAAACGAUGCGAACUGGAUGUUGGUCUCAACUCGGAGAUCAGUGUCGAAGCUAACGCGUUAAGUUCGCCGCCUGGGGAGUACGGUCGCAAGACUGAAACUUAAAUGAAUUGACGGGGUCAUAGCUGUUUCCUG